GAUGAACGCUGGCGGCGUGCUUAACACAUGCAAGUCGAACGAAGCACUUUAUUUGAUUUCCUUCGGGACUGAUUAUUUUGUGACUGAGUGGCGGACGGGUGAGUAACGCGUGGUUAACCUGCCUUGUACAGGGGGAUAACAGUUGGAAACGGCUGCUAAUCCCGCAUAAGCGCACAGCAUCGCUUGAUGCAGUGUGAAAAACUCCGGUGGUAUAAGAUGGACCCGCGUUGGAUUAGCUAGUUGGUGAGGUAACGGGCCACCAAGGCGACGAUCCAUAGCCGGCCUGAGAGGGUGACCGGGCACAUUGGGACUGGGACACGGCCCAAACUCCGACGGAAGGCAGCAGUGGGGAAUCUUGCACAAUGGGCGAAAGCCGAAUGCAGCGACGCCGCGUAAGCGAAGAAUUAUUUAGGAAUGUAAAGCUCUAUCAACAGGGAAGAUAAUGACGGUACCUGACUAAGAGGCACCGGCUACAUACGG
This 480-nucleotide ribosomal RNA is filed under the name uncultured bacterium. Its description in RNAcentral is "partial 16S ribosomal RNA". It matches the Rfam family "Bacterial small subunit ribosomal RNA", at positions 28 to 506 of the family's 1533-position model. The record is from RNAcentral.